CUGUCCAUGACAAACACCAGAAUUUAAUGAAUAAAGUAUAAACUAUCAUAUAGAAGGAAAGAAGGGCUGGCAAGAGAACAACCCAUAGAGGAGGAAUAUACUUGUGAGCCGAAAGCCGUAAAGGAGCGUGAAAUUUGUAAUUGCUAUGAUACUUACAGGAUUUACGAGGCCCCUCACAAAAGUUGCAUGUGUGUGCUGUAAUUGCCUCACAGGAACUGAAACUGGAGGUGAAAAUUGAAUACUCGAUUCAUCUAGUGGUGUAGCAACCACUGCGACUUCACAUGAGUAUGCAUUUCCUUUUGUGGAGUUGAGCUCAUAAUAUUCUCCAAGAUAAGAGAUGGAAUCAAUUUCUUCAUGGAGAUACAGUUCAACAUCUGAACUAUUAAUUAGUCCAGCAGCCAUCUGCCAGUUCCCUCCUUCAACAGCCCAUAAACCACCACCAGAUCCUGCCAAGGAAACCGCUCCGGCAAGUCCACUGAUGUUGACACUUUGACCAUAAUUAAUUCGUGUAAUGACCUGCAUGCAAACCCAACAGAAUUCUAAGUUGUCAAUAAAUCUUCAGAACUCAGUUAAACUACCCAAUUACGAGUCAAUUUCACAUCUUGGCGAAUCUAAAGACAUCACCACAUCUUCCAUAGUACUUGCACAUAAUGAGAUUCUACUUGCUGCACGCACAUCUAUGCUUCUGACAAGCAAACUAGAGGUUCAGGAAACUGCCGUUCUAAAUAAUUUGUCUCAUUUCUCUCCUUUUUUCUUUUUAAAGGAGAGAAUGGUUGUUAAAGGCAGAAAAAAUAAAGAAAAGAAAGCAAGGGAAACGUUUAUAUUUACAGUUUGGAUUACUCACAAAAAUACCUUUCCACCAAGAACAAGAAGAUGGAAAACUGUUUUCACAAAAUGGAUAACAGAUACCUGCCAUCUUGUUGUUUUGGGUGGAAAGGUACGUGAAACAGUGAAAUGUGAGUAUGUGAAUAGUUUUCUACAGCAAAUCGCAUAUUUGGUUUUGUAAAUAGUUAAUAAAGCAAGGGCAACAUUUAUUUUUACGAUUUGGAUAACUCACAAAAUACCUUUCCACCAAAAACAUCAAGACGGAAAACUGUUUUCACAAAAUUGAUAACACAUGCCUGGUUUCCAUCUUGUUGUUUUGGAUGGAAAGGUAUGUGAAACAGUGAAAUGUGAGUAUGUGAAUAGUUCUUCUACAGCAAAUCACAUGGUUUGGUAAAUAGUUAAUAGUAAUAAAAAGGUAUGUGAAGAUUGAAAUGUGAGUAUGUGAAUAGUGUUUUCACAGCAAAAGGCAUAUCUGGUUUAGUAAAUUGGUAAUGUUAAUAUUAAUAAUAUAAUAAUAAUAAUAAUAACAAGUGAAAGCAAUCAAUAUAAACACAAAAAGGGGAGGCAAUUCAAAAAAAAAACUCGAUACCUACAUGAAAAUACGAGCACUUGAUCUCAUCGCUACUGUUCCGAUAAUUUCUAGUAGUCCAAUUCACUGUAUUUUAAUCUCCUUCUUUAUGCAUGAAUUGACAUUUACGUUAUGUGUUCUUGUCUUUGCAUAAAAAGAAAGCAAAGGAGGAAAUCACACACAACUACACCAGCCAAUCCCUUUUGUAAUCACACGAACUAAACUAAACAAACUGCAAAAAGAAUUCAAAGCCAAUCGGCCAAAGUGAGGGAAAAAAGAAGUAGAAGAAGGAAAUCCUUACAGUGACCAAUUCUUUAAUCAACAAAGGAGCCAAUUUAACACCAUCAACCAGCUCCUCCUUCAAACUCUUUCCUGUAAGAUUAAACAAACCAGCCCACUUCAACAUCUCCUCAACACUCUCAAACACAGGCCUUGUUUCCACUCCUUCAUAAUACUUCAAAAACUUAUUCACUGUCUCAUCAACAAACCCUUCCAUUUUUACAAGUGAAAAACCAUAUCUCAUAAACAAAUAAAUCCCAUUAAAAAAAGACACAAUCUUGUUCACAAUCCCCCAAUUUGAAUUCACAUUUAGGGUUUUAACAACAAACCCAUUGCCAUCCCAAAUCCCCAAUGAAAUUGAACUCUCUGAACUGGAUGGUCUCUUCCCCGUCAAAUUUAGCAAAUUAGUAUAGUUCGAGGCGUGGUAGUUUUUGGGGUGGAGAAUUGAAGCUCCGGCCUCGAAGGCGUCGCCGCCGAUUGUAACGGUGGCCAUCCGGCCGCCGACGAUGGCGUGUCUUUCGAAGAUUAGGAUUUUCGGAUGGUGGCUCGUGGUGUAUUGGCGGAGGAAGUGGGCGACUGAAGAGCCGCCAAUUCCGCUGCCGAUGAUGCAUACGGUAGCAUCGUCGCCUCCGGCUGACGUGGUGGCGGAGAAGGAGGUGUGUGGGAAUGUGAGGCCGCCGAAGAUCGCGAGUAAGAAGAUAAUUUUUAGUGGCAACAUAACCAUUUCUUCUUUUCUUAUUUUUUCAACCAUCAGCUUUGCUCAAGACAAUCUCAGAGGAAGAAGCGAAGGUAUAAAAGUUUCUAGCUAGGAUUUUACUGUUUGCUGUUGACUUGUGAAAUAUUUUUAUUUAGUCCCUAAAUACUUAAUGAAAUAAUUAGUUAGUGCUUCUAGUUUUCAAAAUUCUCAUAUUGAAUCCUUAUAUUUAUAUAUUUUUUGCAUGAGUGAUCCGAAAUUACCAGGUCAACCAUUUAUAUUUUUUUUAUUAAAACCGUGACAUUUUUUUUUUACAAGUAUUGACUCGAAUAAAUUUAUUUGAUUUUAAUUUAAUAAAUUAAAUUAUUACAAAUUUGAUUAGAUAAACCGAGAUAUACCGUAUUAAUAUAUUUUUUAAUAAACUUGAAACUUGUGGGUCUAAAUCAUAUGUUUUUCAGAUCAAUUGCCAAGCCGGUUCCUUGUACAAAGAAAUCAAUGAAUCAUAUUUAGAUUCUUCUUGAAAUUAUAAUAAUGAUGACGGUUUAAAAUAUUAUUUAUUUAAAAAUAUAUUAAAAUAAAUUUUUUUUAAUUUUUAAAAAUUAUUUUUGACAUCAACACAUCAAAACGAUUCAAAACAUAAAAAAAUUUCAUUUAAAAAAAAUAAAAAAUAAAUUUUUUAAAAUUUAAAAAAAUACAAUUUUCACCGCGCUCCUAAACAAAACAUUAACUUAAAUUGUGCAGCCGCAUGGAUAAGCUCAUCAUAGUAUACUGUGUUACCAAUUAAAAAAAGGUGUUCACUUGAGGUUUUGGCCUAGCGGUGGUAGGGACUUGUUCCAUUUCUCUGCACCCGGGUUUGAACCUCACUGUACACGCCUGUCACCCCGCGGUGCCUUACAUGCUCACUGGGUUUGCAGGAUGUUCAAUGGACCGUGUGAUUAGUCGUGGUGCGCGCAAGCUAGUCCGGACACCCACAUAAAUAAUAAUAAAAAAAAGUUGCAAAUAAUGGCUGCAAUGCUGGUACAAUAAUGUUUGAGACUGAUGGAACAAAAUAAACCACGAGGAACAAGAGAGAAAAACUUCAUGUGGUUAGCAAAGGGAUAUGAUGUUGGAAUAACUGAGACAAUAAUCAUUCUCCACGAAGAACUGCCAAAAAAAAAGAAGCAAAAUGCAAUCUCGACAGAGCUUCUCAAAAGCGUGGAGUCAUGGUUAGAUGAUUAAUUGUCCUGUUGCAAGAUAGAGAUGUUAGUUUCUUUUUGAAAGUUAACAGGUAGAGUCAAGCCAGCGCAUAUGGAUCAACAAGCUUGAAAGGCUCAUCUGAUGGAUCAACAUGAAAUAUUUUUAUUGAAAACACGCUUGAAAGGCUCAUGAUUAGAAGGUUCAAAGUCAGGGAAGUGAUAGGCUGUUUAUGUAUCUAAUUUUAGAUGUAAUUUUUCCUAUAUUAGUUAUGUUUGAGCCUAAACAUAUGUGAGUUUGAUAAAAUACUAGAUCCAAUUUUUUUAGGCUCGAUUACAUAUUGAAUUUAAAUGCCUGUGAAUCCGGUAAGAUAUCGGACCAACUCUCUUGGUCUCAACCAAGCCCAAAUGCUUAUGAGCUUGACAAGAUGUCAUUCUCAAUUUCCUUGAGCUCAACUUGUGCAUUAAGCCCUAGUAUAUUUGGGCUUGGAAAGAUGUUGAACCCAACAUCUUUGAGUUUAGAAUCAUUCCAAAUCCAAACAUAUAAUUGAUGAUCUUUAAUGGCCUCAUGUUGAGUCGCGAGACUAUCCUUAGGAUCCUUAACCUGGAAUACUAAGAGUUUAAGGUAGUCAUUUCCCUACACUCCUAGUUGUAUAAAAGUUAUCAAGAACCGAUUAUAUCUCAAUUAAUAUUAAUGCUAUGAAAAAGUUAUUUUCAUCAACAUUAAUAUUGUGUAUGAAAUAAAGUAUAAAAUCUUUCAUAGUUCUACUAUUUAUCCGUAAGCACUAAUGAUGUGAAAUGAUAAUUUCCAUUAACAUUAAUGUUGUGUAAGAAGAUGUUUCCAUCAGUAUUAGUGUUGAUAUAAAAGGAUUUCUUUCUUAUUAAGAUAUUCAAGAGGAAAAGACUUUCAACCCCUUGAGCAAAACAAUAAGGUUCAAAGUACAAGAAUUAUAAAUACUCUUCGAGCCACCAUGGUAAAACAUUCACGAUCUUCAUUCUCUUAUCAUAUAUUCUCAAAGUGUUUAUAACAUAAAAACCAAGAACAAAGAUUUUUGUUCUUAAAAUUUAAUGCUUAGUUUCUUAUUUAUUACAAUUUUUACUAUAAAAUUACUAACUUAAUCAUCAAUUCUAUGCUCUUUCAAUUUCUAGGAACAAAAUCCUAACAUAAACAUGUUAUCAUUCCCUGUCCAAAUACUCAAACCAGCAUAUUGGAUCCAGGAGACCAUCACCAACACACGUGAUGAAGUUUCAAGGCACUUAAUUGAAAACUUCAUAAACCGAAAUCAUAAAACUCCGUCGGCAUAAAUUGCUAUAUGAGGAAACCCUUCACCAAGACUAAUGAAAUAAAUGCACAUUUGAUUGAUGAGUCAUGAUCGAGAAUGUUGACUAUGAAGAAUGUUAACCAAUUGAUUUCAAAAUUAAUCAAUGAUAAAAUAACAUAGUGCUAUAGAAGAUUUGUCAAAAACAAAUCAUGGUGGGCCAUCAAUUCUAAGCAGCUAAUACAUCAACUAUCUACAUUCAUGCUAUCUAUUUUCUAGCUAAAUUUAGCUGAAAAGCCAUUUUAGCUAGCUGUUUAAAAGAUAUGAUCACAUCAAUGCUCUCUAUAACAGGGAGUCAUGAAUAUUUGUUUUCUUAUUUUUAUACAUUAGAUGAACAUUCAAGUAUAUAUUAUUCAUAUCCAUGCUCCUCAUCUUUAGCUAAGAAGGUGUUUGAAAUCAAUCAAAACAUGAAAGAGCUGUUGUUGCUGGCUGAAGAAGUUGUUCUUCCAGUUCAGCUUCUUUCCUGUUCUUCAAGUUCUGCCUCCAAUUCAGCCUGAAAAUGUCCAACUAUUUAGAUGCUCCAAUGGGGGAUGAUAAUGCUUCUUGAAUCUGUUUCAUGCUCUCUGUUUGCUCAUUGAUCUCAUCAAUUGUCUUUCCCACAUCAUCAAUAUUCCUGUAAUCCACCAUUUUCACAUAUAUUAAUCACAUGUACCAGACAACUUCAUUAAUCAGAUAUCAUACAUGCAAAUAGAAUUAAUGGAAGGCAUCACCAAAUUGAAGCCAAAUAAAGAUGGUGUUUCCUGUUAACAGUCAUUAAAAAAGAAACACUUAAAUUGGACAAGACAAUGAGAAUCACAAAUAUUUUCAGAGUGAAGCAAGUUUUAUAAAUUUUAAUGAGUCUGGUUAAAAUCCGGCAAGGCGCCAAGGAGAUGGUCACCCAAUUACAGAGUCGAAAAGCUGCAUAUCAAAAUAACAAGCGAUUGAAGUCCUAGCAUCUUUCACAUCUGCAACACUUUUAAUCUACAAUGCUUGCAAACCAGAAGCAGCACGCUAGAGGAAAUUUGACAUUUCAAAUAGCUCUCUCAGGUAAAAUAUUCUCUUUGAUCAGAUUAUUGGGACUUCCAGUUUGAGUCGAAGUUCUUUCAAGGGGCAACAGAUUUAGUGCACAACAUAAACUCUUCAAAGGAAUGAUCGCAGAUGCGAACAUGAAUACAAUAUGGACCUGUAGUAUAUGGCCUCAAGCGUUUAACACAUCAGGAUCCAAGCUAAAUAUCGAAAAUUGUUCAGCUGCGCUAGUUUGUGUCAGCGAAGAAAUUUUGAUGCUUCAAGGCCGCAUGCUUGAAAUCCAUCUUCAGCCUACCCCCUCUGCAUGUUUGGUUGGUUAGCGACUAGGCAGGCCAGACUGAUGUUGAAUGUUGGAAGAUUUUGGUGGCUCAGGUUAACCCAACCCCUAAGAAUAUCUUCAUGCCUAGUGCGAAAAGCCUAAAUCCAUUUCUUUAUAGCGCGAGUCUGAGAUGGGUAAAGGUCUCUAGGCAUCAAUCUUUUACUUGAGAGCUGAGAUCUGUAAAUCUAUGGGAAAAUAAAAAUUAGUGAGCUAGAGGGCUGCCAUCUUCCCAUCUGCACGGUGUCUUCAUUUAUCAAAAAUCAUAUCAAAACGCAAUUUUCCUGGAAUAAAGGCAAAUCACACAAAAUAUCUACUAAAAAUAACAUAACUCAUCAUUAAUUUGUACACAGUAUUAUUGCUUUGUCUAUUUAUACAUUCAGUAAGCUGCUUUGAUUGCUUCAAGGAAAUUCUGUUGUAUAAUACAAGUUCACAUAUCUACUGAUCUUGAUUUACAUUCACAAAAAAGAAAAAGAAAAAACCCUUAUAUUCUCAGUGUCAUGCAUACGAAUCACGUAUCUGAAUGCAACGCCUCUGCACUGGAACAGGAGGUUCUCUUUAUGGCUGAUGGACAUGAGGAAUCCUUGCCAAAAAAUCUUGACAGGAUGAGUCGCGCUAUAUUUUCAGCUGCAACUGCACUUGUCUCCACGGUGCUGGCUACAUUCUCAAAAGCGUUCACAUAGUACAAAUGCUUACCAUCCAAAAUAAAGGGUGCGAAUUUUUCAGGAGCCUUGUAAUGAGGGUAUGCGCCCCAGUUUAUUUGAACGGUCUCCUUCCUCACACUACCAGUAGCGGCAAUAAACAUCAAUCAGUACAGAGCAGAUCAAGUUUUUUGCAUCAAAAUACAUAAUUUAAUAAUUGGGGGUGAGUUUGAAUGGACUGUAUAUAUUAAUUCAGCAAAUCUGCACAAUUUUUGUUAAAUAUUUCCAGUUCUCAUGAAAAAGGGUCUUACUCACACCAAAAUUAUUUAAAAAGUUCACAAGUGAAACCAGAUACAACCAUACACUAUGACUGGUGAUAGGUUAGCCAGUGGCAUAACAAACAAUAAUAGCACAAUAAAAAUCCUUGCAGUAACCAUUAAGGAAAUUAUUAUGAUCCUCAUUUUUCAUUGAAAGGAUUAAACAGUUGAGGGAAAUUGAAAGUAGUACCUAAAGAUGCUAUCCAGUAACGCAUCAGUCAUUGCUUGACGAGAGAAUAUUUUGUAUGUCAUAUCUGUCUCAUUGUAACACUUGAGGAUUGAAAUGCUUGUGAAAGGAAGACGAGGGUCCUCUAUUGUGGCCACCAGUUCUGGAAUUUCUGAAACAGCUUUCAGGCCAAAAUAUACCUUUGUCCAUGACAAACACCAGAAUUUAAUGAAUAAAGUAUAAACUAUCAUAUAGAAGGAAAGAAGGGCUGGCAAGAGAACAACCCAUAGAGGAGGAAUAUACUUGUGAGCCGAAAGCCGUAAAGGAGCGUGAAAUUUGUAAUUGCUAUGAUACUUACAGGAUUUACGAGGCCCCUCACAAAAGUUGCAUGUGUGUGCUGUAAUUGCCUCACAGGAACUGAAACUGGAGGUGAAAAUUGAAUACUCGAUUCAUCUAGUGGUGUAGCAACCACUGCGACUUCACAUGAGUAUGCAUUUCCUUUUGUGGAGUUGAGCUCAUAAUAUUCUCCAAGAUAAGAGAUGGAAUCAAUUUCUUCAUGGAGAUACAGUUCAACAUCUGAACUAUUAAUUAGUCCAGCAGCUAUCUGCCAGUUCCCUCCUUCAACAGCCCAUACACCCCGACCAGAUCCUGCCAAGGAAACUGCUCC
RNAcentral lists this long non-coding RNA (7969 nucleotides) under Populus trichocarpa (black cottonwood). Its description in RNAcentral is "long non-coding RNA (PTRI_LNC002015)". The record is from RNAcentral. Lineage: Eukaryota; Viridiplantae; Streptophyta; Magnoliopsida; Malpighiales; Salicaceae.